ACGUUUAUAAAAUCGUGGAGCAAAAUGUCGUUAAGUGUGUCAUAAUAAAAAUAUCGACGCUUUAAUAUAAUAUCGAAAAAAUUUUAUCAGUAUUUAAUAAAAAUAUGUUUAUUGGCAAUGCUUAAUCACACAUGUCAAAUAUGGAAGAUGUUAGAAUAGAGUGUUGUCUAAAAAAUAUCGUUUAAACAUAUUUUAUUGUAGUUAACUGUUACUGGAGAAACUGUAUGAUGUGGUUCAACUGGAGUAGCAGUUGAAAUUACACCUAAAUUAACAACAAUUUCAACUACAACAGCGGAAAAGAGUAAAUUUAAAAAAAAAAAUUAAACUUACCUUCCUAAAUUAGAGAUGAUCUUAUCAUAAUAUAUUAUAAACUGAAAAAAAUUGAAAAUACACUUCUCUACAUGUAACAAAAUAAAUUAUUUAUAAAUCUAAAAUUUUUUUAUUAUAUCUAAUCAAAUAAAAUAAUUAUAAUUAUAAUAUUAUAUUUUUAACUAUAUUGUAUUUUUAAUUACAUCUAAUCAAACAGAACGGUCGUAUUUUUAGCCAGGUAUACAUU
Molecule: long non-coding RNA, 556 nt
Filed under: Ananas comosus (pineapple)
Lineage: Eukaryota; Viridiplantae; Streptophyta; Magnoliopsida; Poales; Bromeliaceae
Description: long non-coding RNA (ACOM_LNC004252)
Source: RNAcentral